This 253-nucleotide ribosomal RNA is filed under the name uncultured bacterium. RNAcentral's name for it is "partial 16S ribosomal RNA". It matches the Rfam family "Bacterial small subunit ribosomal RNA", at positions 524 to 776 of the family's 1533-position model. The record is from RNAcentral.
UACGGAGGGUGCAAGCGUUGUUCGGAAUUACUGGGCGUAAAGCGCACGUAGGCGGCUUUGCAAGUUAGAGGUGAAAGCCCGGGGCUCAACUCCGGAAUUGCCUUUAAAACUGCAUCGCUAGAAUUGUGGAGAGGUAAGUGGAAUUCCGAGUGUAGAGGUGAAAUUCGUAGAUAUUCGGAAGAACACCAGUGGCGAAGGCGACUUACUGGACACAUAUUGACGCUGAGGUGCGAAAGCGUGGGGAGCAAACAGG